CGAAGGCCCUUGGGUCGUAAAACUCUGUCUUCAGGGAAGAAAAAAAUGACGGUACCUGAGGAGGAAGCCCCGGCUAACUACGUGCCAGCAGCCGCGGUAAAACGUAGGGGGCGAGCGUUGUCCGGAAUUACUGGGCGUAAAGGGCGUGUAGGCGGCCCGUGAAGUCAGGAGUGAAAACUCGGGGCUCAACCUCGAGAUUGCUUUUGAAACCAGCGGGCUUGAGUGCAGGAGAGGAAAGUGGAAUUCCCAGUGUAGCGGUGAAAUGCGUAGAUAUUGGGAGGAACACCAGUGGCGAAAGCGGCUUUCUGGCCUGUAACUGACGCUGAGGCGCGAAAGCGUGGGGAGCAAACAGGAUUAGAUACCCUGGUAGUCCACGCCGUAAACGAUGGGUGCUAAGUGUUGGGGGUAUCGACCCCCUCAGUGCUGUAGUUAACGCAAUAAGCACCCCGCCUGGGGAGUACGGUCGCAAGACUGAAACUCAA
Molecule: ribosomal RNA, 482 nt
Filed under: uncultured Bacillota bacterium
Lineage: Bacteria; Bacillati; Bacillota
Description: bacterial SSU rRNA
Rfam family: Bacterial small subunit ribosomal RNA
Source: RNAcentral